This 254-nucleotide ribosomal RNA is filed under the name uncultured bacterium. RNAcentral describes it as "partial 16S ribosomal RNA". It matches the Rfam family "Bacterial small subunit ribosomal RNA", at positions 524 to 776 of the family's 1533-position model. The record is from RNAcentral.
UACGGGGGGGGCAAGCGUUGUUCGGAAUUACUGGGCGUAAAGGGCUCGUAGGCGGCCAACUAAGUCAGACGUGAAAUCCCUCGGCUUAACCGGGGAACUGCGGCUGAUACUGGAUGGCUUGAGUUUGGGAGAGGGAUGCGGAAUUCCAGGUGUAGCGGUGAAAUGCGUAGAUAUCUGGAGGAACACCGGUGGCGAAGGCGGCAUCCUGGACCAACACUGACGCUGAGUGAGCGAAAGCCAGGGGAGCAAACGGG